Molecule: ribosomal RNA, 394 nt
Filed under: uncultured Saprolegniales
Lineage: Eukaryota; Oomycota; Saprolegniomycetes; Saprolegniales
Description: partial small subunit ribosomal RNA
Rfam family: Eukaryotic small subunit ribosomal RNA
Source: RNAcentral
GCUUGUCUCAAAGAUUAAGCCAUGCAUGUCUAAGUAUAAACAAAUCUAUACUGUGAAACUGCGAAUGGCUCAUUAUAUCAGUUAUAGUUUAUUUGAUGGUUCUUACUACUUGGAUAACCGUAGUAAUUCUAGAGCUAAUACAUGCAUCAACCCCCGACUUUUGAAGGGGUGUAUUUAUUAGAUUGAAACCAAUGCAGCUUCGGCUGGUAUUGUGUUGAGUCAUAAUAACUGUGCGGAUCGCUUUUUAAGCGAUAAAUCGAUUGAGUUUCUGCCCUAUCAGCUUUGGAUGGUAGGAUAUGGGCCUACCAUGGCGUUAACGGGUAACGGGGAAUUAGGGUUUGAUUCCGGAGAGGGAGCCUUAGAAACGGCUACCACAUCCAAGGAAGGCAGCAGG